This 483-nucleotide long non-coding RNA is filed under the name Nicotiana benthamiana. Its description in RNAcentral is "long non-coding RNA (NBEN_LNC016459)". The record is from RNAcentral. Lineage: Eukaryota; Viridiplantae; Streptophyta; Magnoliopsida; Solanales; Solanaceae.
AAAAAAAGAAAAAAAAUGGUAAAAUGUUGGAGCCUAAAAAUUUGGAGAGAGUUUUAAGAGUUUACUUGCAAAAGGUAAUGUUCUAUAAGAGUCUUCUAAGGUUUUCAUCUUCAAAAUAGUUCCUCAAUAUUCAGACGUUGAAAUGAUUUGGAUGAUGUGGAUACUCAAGUAUCUAGGCCAGUUUUUGAUUGGUGUCUGAUUGAUGGGGUUGUUUAACUUUGGUACUAGUUCAAAAUUGUUCCAAAAUUAGUUUCCUUUGUGCAUUUCAGGGUUGACACAUUGCUGCGGCCUUUAUCUACCGGUGUUGAAUUCUGUUGUUCAAUUUAUUGUUACUGUUGUUACCUAAGCUCAUAAGCUUCCUUAUUUACUCCUGUAAUCAGGUACUCCUUGCUCUCUAGGAAAUGACAUGCAAACAUACAAGCUGUAAUUGCCUGAAAUCUGUUAUGAAAGGAUAAACUGUUCUUCCCUCAUAUGUUCAAUGUC